Molecule: ribosomal RNA, 144 nt
Filed under: uncultured eukaryote
Lineage: Eukaryota
Description: partial 18S ribosomal RNA
Rfam family: Eukaryotic small subunit ribosomal RNA
Source: RNAcentral
UGUGUGUGUAGUGAUUUGUCUGGUUAAUUCCGUUAACGAACGAGACCUUGACCUGCUAUAUAGUCCAGCGAAUCUUUGGCUUCGUUUGCGACUUCUUAGAGGGACUUUGCUUUCUUAUGGCAAGGAAGUGCUGAGGCUAUUACA